ACCUUUUUAGUAUAAUCAAUACUAGUAAUUUCCACUUACUAAAUCCUAAUUUAUAGGAAAAGGUG
RNAcentral lists this transfer RNA (65 nucleotides) under Scolecomorphus vittatus. Its description in RNAcentral is "tRNA-Gly". The record is from RNAcentral. Lineage: Eukaryota; Metazoa; Chordata; Amphibia; Gymnophiona; Scolecomorphidae.